CCUACGGGUGACAGCAGUGAGGAAUAUUGGUCAAUGGACGAGAGUCUGAACCAGCCAAGCAGCGUGAAGGAUGACUGCCCUAUGGGUUGUAAACUUCUUUUAUAUGGGAAUAAAAUGUUCCACGUGUGGGAUUUUGUAUGUACAAUAUGAAUAAGGAUCGGCUAACUCCGUGCCAGCAGCCGCGGUAAUACGGAGGGUCCGAGCGUUAUCCGGAUUUAUUGGGUUUAAAGGGAGCGUAGGUGGAUUGUUAAGUCAGUUGUGAAAGUUUGCGGCUCAACCGUAAAAUUGCAGUUGAAACUGGCAGUCUUGAGUACAGUAGAGGUGGGCGGAAUUCGUGGUGUAGCGGUGAAAUGCUUAGAUAUCACGAAGAACUCCGAUUGCGAAGGCAGUUCACUGGACUGCAACUGACACUGAGGCUCGAAAGUGUGGGUAUCAAACAGGAUUAGAUACCCUUGUAGUC
This 460-nucleotide ribosomal RNA is filed under the name uncultured bacterium. RNAcentral describes it as "partial 16S ribosomal RNA". It matches the Rfam family "Bacterial small subunit ribosomal RNA", at positions 338 to 795 of the family's 1533-position model. The record is from RNAcentral.